AGCCUGGAGGCUACAUUCUAGGUCUUUUCUGCUCACUGAAUUUUUUAAGAGCCGCGGUAUUUUGACCGUGCUAAGGUAGCGAAAUCAAUUGUUCCUUAAUUAGGGACCUGUAUGAAUGAAUACACAGGGGGCGACUGUCUCUUUUUUAGUGUAUCGAAUUUGCAGAGUAGGUGCAAAUGCCUACUUUUAAAUGAAAGACGAUAAGACCCUGGGAGCUUAACGGAAGUUUUAUAGUGAAAACGAUUUUGCUGGGGCGGCAUCGUUUAUACCUAACGAUAAAAACAAAACAAUAAGAUUAAGAAAAAGCUACCCCAGGGAUAACAGCGUAAUUUUAUUUUUAGCUUUCGACCUCGAUGUUGGACUAGGAACACGGCAGGUUAGAAGCC
RNAcentral lists this ribosomal RNA (386 nucleotides) under Melibe rosea. Its description in RNAcentral is "partial 16S ribosomal RNA". It matches the Rfam family "Bacterial large subunit ribosomal RNA", at positions 1829 to 2560 of the family's 2925-position model. The record is from RNAcentral. Lineage: Eukaryota; Metazoa; Mollusca; Gastropoda; Nudibranchia; Dendronotidae.